ACGCGAUAAGUAGACCGCCUGGGGAGUACGGUCGCAAGACUAAAACUCAAAUGUAUUGACGGGGGCCCGCACAAGCGGUGGAGCAUGUGGUUUAAUUCGAUGCAACGCGAAGAACCUUACCUGGUCUUGACAUAGUAAGAACUUUCCAGAGAUGGAUUGGUGCCUUCGGGAACUUACAUACAGGUGCUGCAUGGCUGUCGUCAGCUCGUGUCGUGAGAUGUUGGGUUAAGUCCCGCAACGAGCGCAACCCUUUUCCUUAUUUGCCAGCGGGUUAAGCCGGGAACUUUAAGGAUACUGCCAGUGACAAACUGGAGGAAGGCGGGGACGACGUCAAGUCAUCAUGGCCCUUACGACCAGGGCUACACACGUGCUACAAUGGUCGGUACAAAGGGUUGCUACCUAGCGAUAGGAUGCUAAUCUCAAAAAGCCGAUCGUA
RNAcentral lists this ribosomal RNA (436 nucleotides) under uncultured bacterium. RNAcentral describes it as "bacterial SSU rRNA". It matches the Rfam family "Bacterial small subunit ribosomal RNA", at positions 855 to 1290 of the family's 1533-position model. The record is from RNAcentral.